Molecule: long non-coding RNA, 5491 nt
Filed under: Gallus gallus (chicken)
Lineage: Eukaryota; Metazoa; Chordata; Aves; Galliformes; Phasianidae
Source: RNAcentral
CGCCCCGCCCCGCGCUGCCCCAGCGGCCCGGGCUGCCCCGGGCACGGCCGCCGCCGGCCGGGGCGUGGCGUCACCCGCCGCCCACUGAGCGACCGCGCUGAGCACAGCACCGGGACGGCCGCGUGCAGGGCCGGGGGCGCCGCACCCACCUGCACCAACGCUCCGCCGCCGCUCCGCCGCCGCCCGGCGUGGGGAAGGCGGGGCCGGGCCGCGCGCAUGCGCCGCUGGCGGGAGAGGGGGAUAUGGCGGUGCCGGGCCUUGGGAGGCCAGCGAGGAGAGGCUGAGAUGUGGUGUAACUUCUCUUAGCUGCCUCCCGAGGCAUCACCUGCCUGUGUGCGGGCUGAGAGCCGUCGAAAGCCGGCUGCUUCCUUCCCGUAGGCCGGGAACCGAGAGCCGUGCUGCUGGGCGUCCCGGGGCGGCUUCCCUAGCUCUGUCAGUAGCAAGGUUGGGCGAGAGGAGAAAUUCCUUCGGACUUGAAGAAGUAAACGCACAAUAUAUUGUAGUGGCGUAUUUUUAGGCAUAUAGCUGUUGAAUUGUUGUGUUAUGUGGUUAGUUCUUGCUUGCAAAGCUGUAAUAGCUUUUAGAUGUUGUGAAUAGUUACGGUUGUAGCAUUAUAGACUAGAAAGUGUGUUGUAAGGCUAUUCUGCUUUACAGCAAAAGAAACAGUAAUGAAACCACGUGAGUAGCCUUACCAAGGAUCCGAAGAAGCCUCCUUGUCUCCCCGUACCCCGCUAUGUAGCAUUAGAAGACAGGUUGCCAAACUUACCUCCACCAGAGGACAAGCAGAUGUUCAGAAAUAAUGGCUGAGUGAGCAAACAUUACAACUCUGGUACCUAUAAAUUACUUGUAAGAGGCAUUCUCCUACUGAGCAUACACCAGUGAAGAGAGUUCAUUUUGGGGGUGAGUGAGGAAGACUGUAGAGUGACGGAAAAGGCUGCUGAGUGGACUGUCGUGAUGCUAAAAGGACACCAGACAGUAGAAGAGACCAUGGAAUAGAAGACUGGAAACCUCAUAAAUCACUGCCUGAGAUAGCAGAAGCACUGCCAUGGGCAGCCCUGGGAGGUGGUGGAGCCUCGUGCUGGGCUGGCCUGAAAUGCCGAGAACAGCUGUGUGUGUGCCAUGGGACACCUGCUCCUAAAUUUGUGCUCAUAUAAGUACAUGAUAAACAAACUUCCUGCAGGAAGAAGUGCGCAUUCAGGUGUGGUGAUGUUUCUGGGUAUGUAGUGAGAUUCUUGUAGGGCUGAAUUCAAAGUGGGCACCUGCAGGGUAACUCCAUGAGGCUGAAUCCACCUGUCCCAGAUUUAAGUCCUGCUGUUUGGAUCUUAGAAACCUUACCUGGCUGAAACUUAUUGUAGAUCAGCACAUGCCACCUUGUGGCAAGUUAACAGCGUGCAUCUGGGCUGUUUAUUCCCAACUCUUCAUGCUUUAUUCCUUAUUAAGAUACUGCCUUCCUUUUAUAUUCCUUGUAUUUUGGGGCUCACAUUGCUUCAUCUCAGAGCUCCUGUGCUCCUGUUGCAGUAGUUUGUACAUGUCUUGGAGAUCCACCUGUGGCGUUUUGCACUUUGAUCUCAUGUUCUGCCAGUAUAAAGCGUAUUUGUUGGUGAGACAUGCUGAGCACUUUCCAAUUCAAAGCCUGAAGGUAGCUGGUGAAAACUGCACCUGGCUAAUCUGGUUAGUAAGGUGCUGUGAGGAGCACAGAAUGUUCACCUUCAAACUUGUACCGUGAUUUCUGUAUCCAGCUAGUUCCUGCUCCUUACGUCUCUUGUGCAAGCGCUGGAUUUAAAUGUGUUAUUCCUCUUGUUUUCUCAAGUCCCACUUGCUUACUGUCACAGUGUCAUUUUCCAGCAUAAAUACAGUGUUUACAAAGAUAAUUCAGGCUUUCACUGCAGACCUUUCAUUUGCAGUGCUUAUGCAGGCACAUCACUGCAUGGGACAAAGUCUCUCUUGUUCACAGUGAACAUCAGUGUUAUGGGAAGGGAACAAAAGGCUGGAAGGGGUAAUCAGCAGAUGCAGUGAAACAGUGCUGUAGCAAGAAAAAAAUAGCUGGAGGGGCUGCUUCUCAGGUUGGAGGAGCCCUCAGUGAAAAGUGGCAAUGCCUUCCAAAAAAGACAUUGAAGAAAUGCUGUUGCAGUAGGUUAAGGUGUGACCUGCUCUUUAUUUUAGUAAUCUGCUUUAAUCAUUCAUCUGUGUGUAACCUUUGGAGCUUCUAAAACCAGUUCUUAAGUACUUUUCAUUUUAUAAAGUCUGUAUGAGCCACAAUGGAAGGAAAUAAAUUUUAAUAGGCUACCAUAGCAGCUGUAAGUUUGCAGGGAGCUAAUUUAAACCAUAUUCUCUUACCACUCUGCCUUGAGCAUUAGAAAGAAGUAUUUUAAGUGAGGCGUAGUUCAAUCUAGUGGUGAUUUGGGGAUGAUUAAAGCUUAUGAGUCUACAGUCUACAGCUUUUUGGUGGUUUUUUUUUUUUUAAUUUUCUGUUUGACUUUAUAAGCCUUCAAUUGAAGGGGGUUUUCCAUGGCUUCCACAUUAGCUUGGGUUGGUGGACCUACAAAGGAUAAAUGCCAUAACCCUUGUGAUGCUAAGUGGCUGCUCUCAAUCACCCCUGCACAAAUGUGAUCAGUUUCUUAAAAUCAGUGCCAACUAAGGGCCUCUGAGUGCAUGAAAGCAGCUAUUUGCUACCAGAGUGGGUAUCUCAGAUUAGAAACAGUUACUAACUAAAUAGGAGUUUUCUUUCCCUCUAAUGAAAACAAGUUUGCACAGUGGAAUGGCCACUUCCAAAGGGAAAUGUUGAAAGAGGAAGGAUUAAAGGAGUUUUUUUUUUUUUUUUUUCUCCUGGAAAGGUAGAACAAGGACAAGGAGGAAUUACUUUUUAACAGACUGCCUGGGAUGGCUGAGGAGCAUAGUUGGGCGAUGAGUCUGUGCUGGUUUUAGUUGCCAAAACAGAGCAACCUGUCCCAAGGUUUGUGUAGGAUGGAGAGAAAGGUAGAUCAGGAAGGUUGAGCUGCAGAUGUGAAGCCUUGUGUUAAUGGUCUUUGAGGCACUGGACAGAACCCAGAGAGACUUCAGGAUUAGACUUUGACAAAGGGAAUUGCAGAUAUUCAUAGGAAGAAUUCUUAUCAGGGAGAUUCUGAUUUGAUAUAAGGAAAAGGUUUAUAGGAUAAAGGUGUUGAGGCACUGGCACAGGUUGCCCAGAGAGGUGAUGGGUGCCUCAUCCCUGCAGAUAUCCAAGUUCAGGCUGCUCAUGCCCUGAGCACCUGAUGGAGUUGUAGGUGUCCCUGUUCAGUGCAGGGGAGUUGGUCCAAAUGGCCUUUAGGAGUCCCUUCCAACUCAAAUGAUUCCAUGAAUCCAUUGUUACUCCUGGAGCUGGGUAUGCAGAGGGCAGGGGCAGCUCUCACGUAGCUAUGGAAGUGCUGCUGGAGAGCUGUAUGUUAAAGCAGGUUUGCUUUGGCUGUGAUCUCGUUCCAUGAAGGUUGUGUCAGUACGAACAUAGCUGCAAGCUGUAUUUCCAGAGCUUGAACUGACAGCCACGUGCAGCUGUGCAGGAAGGGCUCAGACACUUGUUUCCUAGGGCACAGGGAGAUGUGCUGCUUCGUCACUGCCAACCAUUCUGCAAGCAGCCCUUCUGAUUCCAUGGAUUUCUUUUUUUUUCUUUAUAAAAAUUAGAGUCCUUCAGAGCUCAAGGAAACCACGUUUGAUUCAGGGAUAUUAUGCAGGCAGUAAAAAGAAGUUUUUUAAAAAAUCAGCAGUUUUUUGGAGGUUGUUUGUUCAGCUCUACUAUUAAUGUGGUGUUGUUUGCCAGACUGUGAUCAAAACCACUUGGCAGGAGAGACUUAGUCAGGAGGGCGAGCCAGUGGAGUGGAGCUGUCAUCUAAGUACGUCCAGAAAAACCGUUCUCUUGGCACAGCAAACAGACUGUUUACAGAAAAAAUAAACAUGCCCUCUAAAAUUAUGUUCUUUCUCUGUAAAAUCAUGGAAGGUCACCAGGCUUUGACCCUACAGAAGGAGCGUAACACUUUAUGAGACUUCUGUCAAAGCACGUGAUAAAAAAUAAAUACACUGUAAUAAAGAAGUGUCAGUCUGAUGGCUGAGAUGUGCCUUCCUAACGCAUUCUGUCUCCCUGCUGUAAGAUGUGCUGUGCGUGCUGCCAGGCAAAGGAAGCCCAUCUGGAGAGGAUAUCAAAUCCAUCCAUUUUCUUGACGUAUCAGUUGAUGUAAUUAACUUUUGUUUCAUCUCCCAAGUAAACCUUGUAAACACUAAAAUGUGUCAAAGUAAAAUAUAAUUUAUUGAAGGGUGUGAUUUGUAGAAGUCCUCAUGGUGUUUCAGUUGCUGGAUAGAGCCCCAGAUGCUGAAUAUCCACAAGGAACAAAGGCCUGAUCCAGCCAAACCUGGGUUGUUCUCUGAGCAGUGCCAAUAGAUGGGUGAGAUAGGGCUGAGGAAGGCUGUGGGGACCACCUCUGCGUGCGUCUUUGUGUCGGGGCAGUAGGAGCACCUCCUCUUUGCUGCUCAGGAUUUCCAGCUGUAUUCUUUAUAGUGGUUCCUUCUUCCUCCUCUGCAAGGCUGUUUGUUGAAAUUUUGCUGUGUAAACUCCUGGCAUGGGAGCGAGAAUUGUCAUUCAUGAGAGCCCAAGUAAGCCAGCAUUGAGGCUUGGCCUGCCCUGAGCUCCCUGCUGUCACAGCUGGGUCAGUGUCUGGUCAAGCUAGUUGAAAAAAACACCUCAUGCCACCACAAUCAAGCAGUUGCAGCUCUGUAUUUGAGGACCAUGCAGACUGCUUCUCAGUACUGCAGGGAUACCUGCAGAUUUUCUGGAUGUACACACCCGCGUUACUCAGUGUAACCAUCAGCCCUUCCUCAGUAGUUCAGAGGCACAAAAGCGCUUCCUCGCUGCCACCCUCAGUCUCACAUACAGCACUAAGGCAGUCAGAUGGCCCUGCUGGGAUCUCUACCACUACUAUUAUACAUGUGAAGAGCAUAGAAGAUAUUGAAAUUUCUAAAACCUGAGCUAUCAGCUUGCUGAGGAUGAGUAUGCAAGUGUUCAGCCUUGGGUUUUCCAUACCCUGCCAACCCACUGAAGUUUUAUGUUAAUCAAGAAAAGGAGAAAGUCUUCCAUCUGAUGGUAGUUUAGAUUCUGCUCGGUUAUAACUCACAACCCCAAAGCAUAAGAAUUAAGUUUAAUAGUCCAUAAAUUACACAGCAUGCAGUACAUACUGUUGUAAUCUGCACAUAAUCCAUACGAAGUAUUAACACCCAUGUCUAAACAAAAUUCAAAGUCACUGUAGGCAAUCUUAAACCUCAGCUGUACAGUUUUUCUGAACUAUUUUGGCUGUAGACAUGACUUUUCACCCCUCUACCCCCAUAUGGUAUUAAUUCAAUUGUUUUAUAUGUUGUACAUGCGUAAGAGCUAGAAGGGAUUUCCUCCAACAACAAACACUGGGGAUAAAAAGGUUGGUGUUUAUAAAAACGUCAAACUGAAAGGCUCUUCCAUAGCUUGCUGGAGGAU